This is a long non-coding RNA of Rosa rugosa (rugosa rose), 1252 nucleotides long. RefSeq lists it as uncharacterized. NCBI's taxonomy places the organism in Eukaryota, Viridiplantae, Streptophyta, Magnoliopsida, Rosales, Rosaceae. The transcript has 2 exons. The record is from RefSeq and is a predicted model, not a curated record.
UCUCCUCUCUCUCUUCAGUCCUCUCCCAGCCUCCCACACUUUGCAUCUGCUUCUUCCCUUCUCCUUGAACUCAUCGGAACCACCAGUCCAUCAUACAAUGAUCAUUCUUUCAACAAGUUAAGCCUCAACACCGUGAAGAAGGGGAAGGGGAAAUUUGGAAGAAGAUCUGGGGGAUCAAGGGGAGUCUCAACCGUUUGCCGCCGGCUUGCGUUGGCAACAUGGUGAUGGCUACCAUGAAGAAGAGGAAGUCGGAUCUGAGGAAGAAGGUGCUGCCUCCCUUUUUAACAUUAUUGACUGAAUAUAUGUACACCGUGAAUGGGUUUUAUCCUUUCCCUUGCUUUUUAAUCUCCUUGUUUUGGUUCUUAGUGAUGAAGUGGGUGGAUUCAACUUGAAGGUAUCAAGGAUGGCAGUCAUGAUGCACGCCAAGUUAAACUGGAAGAACCUCAGCCAGAUCGACCUCAUCAAAGACUCUGAAUCUGGUUUCAGUGUUUGAAUCAAUCAUAUAUAGGUCUAUGCAUGCAUAUCAUCUCUAAUCGAAGAUCUCAAACUUCUUCACUGAGUAGGAGGCUGAAACAAUGACAGUGACUAAACCCAAGAAAAUCAUCGUUGACUCCGAUCAUCACUGAACCCAUCCAACUCCAGAAAGAUGAAAUCAAAUGAAUAAGAUCUGGAUGUAAGCCACCCAUCCCCAGAAAGACUCGAUAUUGGACCAGAAGCAAUUAUAAUUAUAAAAAAAAAAAAAAAAAGAAAAAAAAAAAGAAGCAAAAGCAAUUAUAAUAAUGAUUCCUACCCACUAUAUAUAUAUAUAUAUAUAUAUAUAUAACAAGCCACGCACAUAAUUAAUCGAGGGUGUUAAGGGGAAAGCCACCCCUUUACAGAGCACUGACCCUAUUAAAAGUGGCUGAGGUGUGGCUAUGGCUGCUAGACACACACAUCUGUGUCCUUUGGGGUCAUUUUGUCACACAUGUUGUGUGUGGCUUUUGCCCAUAAUUGUAGUAGUGGACUGAUGGGCACCUUUUGGAGGGGAUUAUGAUGAUCAUGCGACAAUUUAUUCACUUUCUUAUUUUUAUGCUUCUAGCUAGAGAGUGCAAUAGAGUUUCACAUGAGCUGACCGGAUUUGCAUUGAAGCAUCAGGUGAUGUACAUGAUGAGAUGAGUUCUCUGAUUGGGUACUGAGGAGUGCUCAGAUAUCUUAUCACCUCUUUUAACAGAUGAUUCUCAUCCUCUUUAUAUACUUAAUCCAUUUUGAUAAA